AGAGUUUGAUCCUGGCUCAGAACGAACGUUGGCGGCGUGGAUAAGACAUGCAAGUCGAACGCUGAUUUCAGGGUAGCAAUACUCUGAGGUCGGAGUGGCGCAAGGGUGCGUAACACGUGGGUAAUUUGCCGUGAAGUUGGGGAUAACUCGCUGAAAGGCGAGCUAAUACCGAAUGUGAACAUUGGGAGGCAUCUUUUGAUGUUCAAAGUUGGGGACCGCAAGGCCUGACGCUUCACGAUAAGCCCGCGGCCUAUCAGCUAGUUGGUGAGGUAACGGCUCACCAAGGCUAAGACGGGUAGCUGGUCUGAGAGGACGACCAGUCACACUGGAACUGAGACACGGUCCAGACACCUACGGGUGGCAGCAGUCGAGAAUUUUUCUCAAUGGGCGAAAGCCUGAAGGAGCGACGCCGCGUGGGGGAUGAAGGGCUUCGGCCCGUAAACCCCUGUCAUUUGCGAACAAACCUUACGAUCUAAUAAGUCGUGAGCUGAUUGUAGCGAAAGAGGAAGGGACGGCUAACUCUGUGCCAGCAGCCGCGGUAAUACAGAGGUCCCAAGCGUUGUUCGGAUUCACUGGGCGUAAAGGGUGCGUAGGUGGCAGGGUAAGUUUGAUGUGAAAUCUCCGGGCUUAACCCGGAAACUGCAUUGAAUACUAUCCCGCUUGAGGUUUGGAGGGGGGACUGGAAUUCUCGGUGUAGCAGUGAAAUGCGUAGAUAUCGAGAGGAACACCAGUGGCGAAGGCGAGUCCCUGGACAACACCUGACACUGAGGCACGAAAGCUAGGGGAGCAAACAGGAUUAGAUACCCUAGUAGUCC
This 815-nucleotide ribosomal RNA is filed under the name uncultured bacterium. RNAcentral describes it as "bacterial SSU rRNA". It matches the Rfam family "Bacterial small subunit ribosomal RNA", at positions 8 to 796 of the family's 1533-position model. The record is from RNAcentral.